Molecule: long non-coding RNA, 361 nt
Organism: Capra hircus (goat)
Lineage: Eukaryota; Metazoa; Chordata; Mammalia; Artiodactyla; Bovidae
Exons: 3
Source: RefSeq, a predicted model, not a curated record
CGGCCCUAAGUGUUUUCAGCGUCAAGAAACAAUCUAAGAUGCUGGCCGACCUCCCGCUGCCGUGGCUCACGACAGACUCCCAUCCUGAGGACAGACAGACAGGGUGAGCCGAUUCCCAAAGACAGCCCUGAGACCAGGACAGAGGGGCCAGGGAACCGGAGCGCCGAAGACAAAGUCAGACCUCGAGGAGGAAAACCCGAGAUACCGGUCACAACUUGGGGACGCCCACAGGCACCACGUCAGCACCCCUCUCUCCACUGGGGCCUCAUAGGUUCCCGAAGAGGAUGGUUGUCAAGCUGCUAAAUGAUGGCUUCUCAAUCAGCUCCUUCGCCUCUGUUGUGGUUGCCCCUCCCGAAGGAGU